This 433-nucleotide ribosomal RNA is filed under the name uncultured bacterium. Its description in RNAcentral is "partial 16S ribosomal RNA". It matches the Rfam family "Bacterial small subunit ribosomal RNA", at positions 29 to 507 of the family's 1533-position model. The record is from RNAcentral.
AGCGAACGCUGGCGGCAGGCCUAACACAUGCAAGUCGAACGAACUCUUCGGAGUUAGUGGCGGACGGGUGAGUAACACGUGGGAACGUGCCUUUAGGUUCGGAAUAACUCAGGGAAACUUGUGCUAAUACCGAAUGUGCCCUUCGGGGGAAGGAUUUAUCGCCUUUAGAGCGGCCCGCGUCUGAUUAGCUAGUUGGUGAGGUAAAGGCUCACCAAGGCGACGAUCAGUAGCUGGUCUGAGAGGAUGAUCAGCCACAUUGGGACUGAGACACGGCCCAAACUCCUACGGGAGGCAGCAGUGGGGAAUCUUGCGCAAUGGGCGAAAGCCUGACGCAGCCAUGCCGCGUGAAUGAUGAAGGUCUUAGGAUUGUAAAAUUCUUUCACCGGGGACGAUAAUGACGGUACCCGGAGAAGAAGCCCCGGCUAACUUCGUG